CUUUUAAGAUGAAAGGAUAUGCAUGUUAUUUGGGUGACAGAAGGAAGUGACUCCAGGGCAAGAUAAAGGGCAUUGUGAAGACCAGCAAACAGCAGAAAGUCUGGCACAUACAAAGCUCUCAUGAUAUCUGACUAAAUAAUGGUGGCAGUAGUAGAAGCUUCAGCAGCAGCAGCUGAAAGAAUAUAAAAUGUGAAGGAAGAAGAAUCAAGAGUGAGCCUUAAGUUUUUGGCUUGAGUAACUGAAGGAGUGACAGUGUGUAUUAUUAACUGAGUUGCGGA
This 278-nucleotide long non-coding RNA is filed under the name Cavia porcellus (domestic guinea pig). RNAcentral describes it as "lncRNA (ENSCPOG00000039870.1)". Lineage: Eukaryota; Metazoa; Chordata; Mammalia; Rodentia; Caviidae. The record is from RNAcentral.